This 819-nucleotide long non-coding RNA is filed under the name Salmo salar (Atlantic salmon). Its description in RNAcentral is "lncRNA (ENSSSAG00000085254.1)". Lineage: Eukaryota; Metazoa; Chordata; Actinopteri; Salmoniformes; Salmonidae. The record is from RNAcentral.
CCCCAACAGGUUUUAAAGGAGAGUAAGAGCUGUUGUCACCGAUGAAAUAAGAGCCACCAUCAUAAAACAUGUGAUAAACCAUGGUCUAUCACUGAGAGAUACUGGUGAAAGAGUCCAGCCUAAUCUCAGACGGUCAACCGUGGCUUCCAUUGUCCAGAAUUGUCAACAAACCAACAGAGAGUCAUGGAGUUGGAGGCUAAUCAGACCCCACAUGAAAUCAUUAAUGUAGACGAGGCAGGGUUUAACCUGGCAAAAACAAGUUGGCGGGGAAGAAACGUCAUUGGGAAAAGGACCACCGUUGAUGUGCCAGAUGACCUCCACAAACAACUCGCACCAGAAGCAGAAAGGGAACAGGUGGGAGGAAACAGGAGGACAUUUGUGAUUGCAUGGGACAAUGUAGCAUUCCAUCAUUCACAUGCAAUCACAAACUGGUUUGCAGCCCAUCCAAGAAUGGUUUCCCUUUUCCUCCUCACCUACUCGCCUUUCUGCUUGGAGGUGGAAAGUGUAUGAUCAUCGGCCACAUGACCAAAUGUACCUCCUGGAUGCAAUGGAUGCCGGCUGCAGAGACAUCUCAGCUGAAGACUGCCAGGGGUGGAUAAGGCAUGCCAAGCAUUUCUAUCGAAGGUGCAUAGCGAGAGACGACAUAAGAUGUGAUGUGGACGAGAACAUGUGGCCAAAUGCUGAAGAUCGUAUAGAUUAGAACAGGACUGUGCGUUUUUGUGUUUUUUCCCCUUCUGUGCCUUUUUUACUGUAAUUGUGUUUUAUUUUUACACAUUUGAAACCAAAGGCCAUGUAUAUAGGAUGUUUUGUUGAUCACUG